AUGAGCAAGAAUCAUUGAUCGGCUGCCUCCUGCACGCCCCCUACUGGGGAUCAAGCCCGAAACCCGGGCAUGUGCCCUGACUGGGAAUUGAACCCUGACCUCCUGGUUCCUAGGUUGAUGCUCAAUCACUGAGCCACACUGGCUGAGCUACUCAGUUAGUUUUUAAAUAUAUUUCUUUAUUGAUUUCAGAGAGGAAGGGAGAGGGAGAGAGAGAUAGAAACAUCAAUUAUGAAAGAGAAUCAUUGAUCAGCUGCAUCCUGCAUGCCCCCUACUGGGGAUCAAACCUGUAACCUGGGCAUGUGCCCUUGGCUGGAAUCGAACCUGGGACCCUUCAGUCCACAGGCCGACGCUCUAUCCACUGAGCCAAACUGGCUAGGGCACUACUCAGUUUUUUAAUCCCACCUAGCAUGUUUCAUGAAAUUUGUUGAGAAGUCUGCCUUAACCUUUGACCCUCCCCCCCAUUUCCUGGCCUGAUGUUAGAAGAUUGGGAGGGGGUGGAACUUUAAUGGGAACACUGUACCCCACAGCCUGUCUUCUCACUUGCAUCCGCAAGCCAGAGCUGGCUGUCACACAGGACUGAGGCAUCCAGAUAGAAGCCCCAGUAGUAUCCACCACAGGGCCACACUUUCCAGGGGUGGGAACGCCACCCCUGCCAGUUGGGCCCUGGAACCCUUGGCAGGCCGAGAGCCACCAAGGCACCUUUGCCCAGGCCAUGGCGAGACCUGCCCACCAUGGAGAACAGGUGCUUCAGCGGCGUCUCUUCUCUCCCGGAGUCUGUGUCUAUGUCUGCACCCAAUUCUUUUUUUUUCCUCAAAAAAAGGUUUUUAUUGAUUUUUAGAGAGAGAAGAAGGGAGAGGGAGAGAGAGAGAAACAUUGAUUUGAGAGCAAAUCAUACAACAGACAUUAGUGGACUCUCCUGCGUGCAACUGGCCAGACAGGUAAAAGCCUGGGGCGCUCACGCUCUGGCCGGGAGGCAGACACAGCCUGGCCCCUGAGACCAAGGCUGGCACGGAGGAAAGAUCAGCUGCCUCCAGCACACCCCCUACUGGGAAUGGAGCCCCAGCCUUCUGGUGCACAGGAUGAUGCCCAACCGACUCAGCCACACUGGCCAGGUCUCUGUGCCACAUCUUAGCCCUUGGGCCCUCCCUGCUGGACUCGCUCGUUCUUUUUUAUGUGAUGAAGGUCUGCACGCGCCAUGCAGCUCUGGCUUCUCCAUUGCAAUCACAGCCCGGUUCACUGAUGGGACUUGAGGCAACAUCUCACAGGUAAGUAUCUACCCACAAGGUCUCUGAAAGUGUUUGCCCUCAGAAGAUGGCCCACCCUCUCACCCGCUCUGGGAGGCUCUGUUUGUAAUUGUUCCACAGCAUUAACCUAUCUAAUGAGUUGGCCCGCUCGGCCUUUCUGUAAUAUUAAUGAUAACAGCUCCUGAGGUCUGGAUGAUACUCAUCUGGACCUUGUGGCAGCCCUGGUAUCAGGGCUGGUACACAGCCUGCAGGGCAGUGCUGGUUGUGGACUGAUUGGUCAGUGCCCUUGACUUCUGUUGUCAAAUAUUUUAAAAAUCACCAGAAUUUGCACAGAUUAUUUCUUUAAAUCCUUACAAGCCUAUUGGGUAGGUAGUUUUUAUUCCCAUUUUAAAGAUGAGGGAAAGCAGCACAGAUGUGUGAAGGAAUGCAUCCAAGUGGGACAGCUGGGCCUUGAACCUGGGCCUGUCUGCCCCUGAGCCCAUUCUCAGCUACCACCCUGUGCCCGUGAGUACCUACAGCUCAGCCUCUUAGUGAGGGGCAGGAGGCACAGCUGCUCUCCCAGAACACUGGAGCCGCACUUCCUCCAUGGAAGGGUCCCAGUCGGAAAGCCAGGCCAGUGACCAAAGGCGCUUGGGAACUGGCCCGGUUCUUUGCCACAUGUGCCAGGAGCAGAUCCAGCCAGCUGGGCUGUGGGGCUGCCAGGACCAUUCAGGUUGGUCAGCAAGCAUGUCUGGCGCCUCUGCCAGGUGUCAGGCCCGAUGCCAGAGGCAGGCAGGCAAGAUUGAGACCUUGCCUUCGGAGCACCGAGCUUCUCACCCUCCCCUGACCUCAGGCGCCCCUGUGAGGGGGCUCAGCUGCAGCCAUGUCUUUAUUUGCUGCCCCAUGUCCCUGAAGUUCCUGCCCUCUAGGCUGAGGACCACCCUGUCAAAGGCCACGGAGCAAAUCCAGACUCAAAAGAUGCAGCUGACAGCUCAGGGCCGCGGCAUCUCUUCCUGCAGCUCACACGGGGCACUGCAGCUGGCAGGGGGCUGCAGGCCUCCGGGGGUGGGCAGGACUGAGUCUGGCCAAAGGCAGGGUGUGGGAAGGGAGAGGCCAGUGAGCUGCAGUAGGACUACAGGCUCGUGAUGCCUGGGCCUUAGACCCAACCCCAUCCUGUCCCCUCUGCUAAGUCUUGGCUCAGUGCUGGGAGGUGAGCUUAUGGGAAAGGUCCUGGGGCCCUGUAUGUCCGACAGAGGGGGUGGGAAGGGAAGGAGGGGUUAGUGGAGCCCAGGCACCACCUCCAUGGGGACAUGUGCAGUCCCUCACACAGCCCUCAGGAAAAGGCCACCUGCCCAAGCCUCAGCCAUUCCUCAGCUUGCCCCAACUGACAGUGGUCUCACUGACACUGGUCAGGCAGCAGCAGAGGUCCCUGGCUGGGGGCAAAGCAAGGGGUGGGGGCCUGGCCAUGGGGCAUGAGCUGGUCCUUGUUGGCCUCUCCUGGGUCUGUUCCUCCCUUUGAUGUGUAAUGGGAACACAAUGAAUCUUUUGUGUAAGGACAGAUCUCAGGAAAUAAGCUGGGUUUGCAGUGCAUGCCUGCCUCCAUAAACUUAUUUUAAAGUACGUUUUUAUUGAUUUCAGCGAAGGGAGAGAGAGAAACAUCAAUGAUGAAAGCAAAUCAAUCAGCUGCCUCCUGCACGCCCCCUACUGGGGAUCAAACCUGCAACCCAGGCUUGUACCCUGACUGGGAGUCGAACCUGUGACCCACACCAGUCAGCAAGAGAGGCAGUUAAUAUGCAGGUUCAACAAGCAUAAAUGGGCACUGUCCUGAGCAAAUGGCGAUAUAUAUCCCUUUAAGGAUAAGGGGUCUGCCUGUCUCAUUACUGAAGGCCCUCCCCUCACCCCCCCUCCCAUCCCCCGUCAGAAGGCAAGGCUUUCUAGGACCCUUAGCCAGAGGAAACUUGUGAAACAGAUUUCAUUCAAAUGAAGACCAUUACCAAGUCUCAACUUCAAAAACUUUUAUUUUUGUCUGUUCAAGGGCACAGGAUACGUUCAUCAGUUCCAACUUUUGCUUUUCUCCUUAUAGACUGUUUCAUCACUAUACCCAGGGUACCUAUGUGACCAGCUUCCUAGAACCAAAAAUAUUUUUGCCUUCUGGUUAAGGUGCCCAAAUGAAGUAUGGCGUGCAAGUGGCAGUUUAAGCCGACUCCAAGCCACGCAUCACGUGCCAGGAGCCUCCUGCA
Myotis daubentonii (Daubenton's bat) is the source of this 3463-nucleotide long non-coding RNA. RefSeq lists it as uncharacterized. The record is from RefSeq and is a predicted model, not a curated record. NCBI's taxonomy places the organism in Eukaryota, Metazoa, Chordata, Mammalia, Chiroptera, Vespertilionidae.